Molecule: ribosomal RNA, 439 nt
Filed under: uncultured bacterium
Lineage: Bacteria
Description: partial 16S ribosomal RNA
Rfam family: Bacterial small subunit ribosomal RNA
Source: RNAcentral
CCUACGGGUGGCUGCAGUGGGGGAUAUUGCACAAUGGGGGGAACCCUGAUGCAGCGACGCCGCGUGGGUGAAGGAGCGUUUCGGCGCGUAAAGCCCUAUCGGCAGGGAAGAAGAUGACGGUACCUGGCCAAGAAGCCCCGGCUAACUACGUGCCAGCAGCCGCGGUAAUACGUAGGGGGCAAGCGUUAUCCGGAUUUACUGGGUUUAAAGGGUGCGCAGGCGGUCUGUUAAGGCAGCGGUCAAAGCCCGGGGCUCAACCCCGGCCCGCCGUUGAAACUGGCAGUAUCGAGUUGGAGAGAAGUAUGCGGAAUGCGCGGUGUAGCGGUGAAAUGCAUAGAUAUCGCGCAGAACUCCGAUUGCGAAGGCAGCAUGCCGGCUCCACACUGACGCUGAGGCACGAAAGCGUGGGUAUCGAACAGGAUUAGAUACCCUUGUAGUC